This 798-nucleotide ribosomal RNA is filed under the name uncultured bacterium. RNAcentral describes it as "bacterial SSU rRNA". It matches the Rfam family "Bacterial small subunit ribosomal RNA", at positions 24 to 796 of the family's 1533-position model. The record is from RNAcentral.
AAUGAACGGAACGCUGGCGGCGUGCUUAACACAUGCAAGUCGAACGCGAAAGGGGACUUCGGUCCCCCGGUAGAGUGGCGCACGGGUGAGUAACGCGUAGAUAAUCUACCCCUAUAUUUGGAAUAACAACUCGAAAGGGUUGCUAAUACCGGAUACGCUUGUCUGUAUGCGAGUACGGACAAGGAAAGGUGACCUCUCCAUGGAAGUUACUGUAUAGGGAUGAGUCUGCGUACCAUUAGCUAGUUGGUAGGGUAAAGGCCUACCAAGGCUACGAUGGUUAGCGGGUCUGAGAGGAUGAUCCGCCACACUGGAACUGGAACACGGACCAGACUCCUACGGGAGGCAGCAGUGGGGAAUAUUGGACAAUGGGCGAAAGCCUGAUCCAGCCAUGCCGCGUGUGUGAAGAAGGUCUUCGGAUUGUAAAGCACUUUAAGUUGGGAGGAAGGGCAGUAAGCUAAUACCUUGCUGUUUUGACGUUACCGACAGAAUAAGCACCGGCUAACUUCGUGCCAGCAGCCGCGGUAAUACGAAGGGUGCAAGCGUUAAUCGGAAUUACUGGGCGUAAAGCGCGCGUAGGUGGUUUGUUAAGUCUGGUGUGAAAGCCCUGGGCUCAACCGGGGAAGUGCAUUGGAUACUGGCAAACUUGAGUACGGGAGAGGAUAGUGGAAUUUCGAGUGUAGGGGUGAAAUCCGUAGAUAUUCGAAGGAACACCGGUGGCGAAGGCGGCUAUCUGGACCGAUACUGACGCUGAGACGCGAAAGCGUGGGGAGCAAACAGGAUUAGAUACCCUGGUAGUCC